Molecule: ribosomal RNA, 406 nt
Filed under: uncultured bacterium
Lineage: Bacteria
Description: partial 16S ribosomal RNA
Rfam family: Bacterial small subunit ribosomal RNA
Source: RNAcentral
GACGAACGCUGGCGGCGUGCCUAAUACAUGCAAGUCGAACGAGUGGCGGACGGGUGAUUCAUGUCUGGGAAACUGCCUGAUGGAGGGGGAUAACUACUGGAAACGGUAGCUAAUACCGCAUACCAUCGGAUGUGCCCAGAUGGGAUUAGCUAGUAGGGGGGGUAAAGGCUCACCUAGGCGACGAUCCCUAGCUGGUCUGAGAGGAUGACCAGCCACACUGGAACUGAGACACGGUCCAGACUCCUACGGGAGGCAGCAGUGGGGAAUAUUGCACAAUGGGCGCAAGCCUGAUGCAGCCAUGCCGCGUGUAUGAAGAAGGCCUUCGGGUUGUAAAGUACUUUCAGCGGGGAGGCGUUACCGACAGAAGAAGCACCGGCUAACUCCGUGCCAGCAGCCGCGGUAAUAC